CGGGGCGUAGCUCAGUCUGGUAGAGCGCCGCGUUUGGGACGCGGAGGUCCGCCGGUUCGAAUCCGGCCGCCCCGA
RNAcentral lists this transfer RNA (75 nucleotides) under Solirubrobacteraceae bacterium. Its description in RNAcentral is "tRNA-Pro". It matches the Rfam family "tRNA". From Rfam's summary of the family: Transfer RNA (tRNA) molecules are approximately 80 nucleotides in length. Their secondary structure includes four short double-helical elements and three loops (D, anti-codon, and T loops). RNAcentral also lists the same sequence under 2 other names. Lineage: Bacteria; Bacillati; Actinomycetota; Thermoleophilia; Solirubrobacterales; Solirubrobacteraceae. The record is from RNAcentral.